RNAcentral lists this long non-coding RNA (921 nucleotides) under Homo sapiens (human). RNAcentral's name for it is "HSALNT0380349". Lineage: Eukaryota; Metazoa; Chordata; Mammalia; Primates; Hominidae. The record is from RNAcentral.
GGUUUCACCAUGUUGGCCAGGCUGGUGUCGAACUCCUGACCUUGUGAUCCACCCGCCUCGGCCUCCCAAAGUGCUGGGAUUACAGGCGUGAGCCACUGCACCCAGACUUGUGAGGUUUUAAUAUGAAGUAUUAAAGCUAUGCUGGUUAGACAAUUUGAGAAAUGUUUCUUCUCCUAUUUCUGACAGAGUUUAUGUAAGAUGUGUGCUAUUUCUUCCUUAAGCAUUUGGAAAGAAUUCACUUAUUAAGCCAUGUGAGACUGUAGUUUUCUUUAUAAGGUGUUUAAUUACAGGUUCAAUUACAUAUAUAUGAAUAUUCAUUUCGGUAACCUGUGUUUGCUGAAUCAAUUUGUUCAUUUUAUCUAAAAUUUCAAAGUUGUUCUAUUAUUCAUUUAUCUUUUUAAUACUUAUAAGGUGUGCGGUUAGAAUUUGUGCCUUUUGUCUGUUUUGUUAAUCAAUCUUGCUGGGGGCCAUCAAUUUUAUCAGUGUUUCAAAAAAGCAAACUUUGAUUUUAUUCAUCCCUUUACCAUACUAAAAAUGUUUUGCUUAAUUUCCAAACUUACACUUCCACUGUGAUUAAAUAUUUGUAUAACUAAAACUCUUUGGAAUUUGUGUCUUCUCAAUGAUUAAAAAUAUGAUUAAUUUUUAUAAAUAUUGCUUCUGCACUUGAAAAGGAUAUGUAUUCUGCAUGUUGAGCGUAGUGUACCACGUAUCUCAAUUAGACGGAGCGUGUUAAAUGCAUCCUUUAAAGAUUCUAUUUCCUUACUGAUGUUUGUCUAUUUUUCAGUGGCUGAGACACAGAUAUGAAACUUUCCCACAAUCAUCGUCAACUUAUUUCUUUUUUUCGUUUGUUAAGCUUUGUUCUGUGUGUUUUAAGGUUAAGUUACCAGGCAUAAACACAUUUAGAAUUCCUUUUUCUCCCUG